This 162-nucleotide unclassified non-coding RNA is filed under the name uncultured fungus. RNAcentral describes it as "sequence contains ITS1". The record is from RNAcentral. Lineage: Eukaryota; Fungi.
GUAUUAAAAUUUAUGUGUGUGCACGCUCUCUUUCAAGGGCGGCAACAGCAGAUUACGUUAUAGCAUGCUUCUAGUUGCACUAUCUCAACACACUUCACAGUAGUUAGAAGGCGUAAAUCCUUCGCUAUGAAAAUGAUCCUUCCGCAGGUUCACCUACGGAAA